UACGUAGGGGGCAAGCGUUGUCCGGAAUCAUUGGGCGUAAAGAGCGCGUAGGCGGUCCGGUAAGUCCGCUCUGAAAGUCCGGGGCUCAACCCCGGGAGGCGGGCGGAUACUGUCGGGCUAGAGUCCGGAAGAGGCGAGUGGAAUUCCUGGUGUAGCGGUGAAAUGCGUAGAUAUCGUCUGGAACGCCAAAGGUGAAAACAGACUGCUGGGAGUGUGCUGACGCUGAGACACGAAAGCCAGGGGAGCAAACGGG
This 253-nucleotide ribosomal RNA is filed under the name uncultured bacterium. Its description in RNAcentral is "partial 16S ribosomal RNA". It matches the Rfam family "Bacterial small subunit ribosomal RNA", at positions 524 to 776 of the family's 1533-position model. The record is from RNAcentral.